Molecule: ribosomal RNA, 367 nt
Filed under: uncultured organism
Description: bacterial LSU rRNA
Rfam family: Bacterial large subunit ribosomal RNA
Source: RNAcentral
CUUUACUGUAGCUUUACAUUGGACUUUGAACAGAUCUGUGUAGGAUAGGUGGGAGGCUUUGAAGCAGUGCCGCUAGGUGCUGUGGAGCCAACGUUGAAAUACCACCCUGGUGUGUUUGAGGUUCUAACCUUGGCCCGUUAUCCGGGUUGGGGACAGUGUAUGGUGGGCAGUUUGACUGGGGCGGUCUCCUCCCAAAGUGUAACGGAGGAGUUCGAAGGUACGCUAGGCACGGUCGGAAAUCGUGCUGAUAGUGCAUAGGCAUAAGCGUGCUUGACUGCGAGACUGACAAGUCGAGCAGGUACGAAAGUAGGACUAGGUGAUCCGGUGGUUCUGUAUGGAAGGGCCAUCGCUCAACGGAUAAAAGGUA